RNAcentral lists this ribosomal RNA (450 nucleotides) under uncultured Glomeromycotina. RNAcentral's name for it is "SSU rRNA". It matches the Rfam family "Eukaryotic small subunit ribosomal RNA", at positions 569 to 1023 of the family's 1831-position model. The record is from RNAcentral. Lineage: Eukaryota; Fungi; Glomeromycota.
AGCAGCCGCGGUAAUUCCAGCUCCAAUAGCGUAUAUUAAAGUUGUUGCAGUUAAAAAGUUCGUAGUUGAAUUUCGGGAUCGACGGGUCGGUCGCGCCUCUGGUGUGUACUGGCCCUGUCGGUUUCUCCCUUCUGACGAACCAUGAUGUCAUUAAUUUGGUGUCGUGGGAAAUCAGGACUGUUACUUUGAAAAAAUUAGAGUGUUUAAAGCAGGCAUUCGCUUGAAUACAUUAGCAUGGAAUAAUGAAAUAGGACGUUUGAUCUUAUUUUGUUGGUUUCUAAGAUCGACGUAAUGAUUAAUAGGGAUAGUUGGGGGCAUUAGUAUUCAAUUGUCAGAGGUGAAAUUCUUGGAUUUAUUGAAGACUAACUACUGCGAAAGCAUUUGCCAAGGAUGUUUUCAUUAAUCAAGAACGAAAGUUAGGGGAUCGAAGACGAUCAGAUACCGUCGUAG